Molecule: non-coding RNA, 125 nt
Organism: Triticum aestivum (bread wheat)
Lineage: Eukaryota; Viridiplantae; Streptophyta; Magnoliopsida; Poales; Poaceae
Source: Rfam
CAUAUACUCCCUCCGUCCGGAAUUACCUGUUGGAGAAAUGGAUGUAUCUAGACGUAUUUAAAGUUCUAAAUACAUCAAUAUCUAUCAUUUCUGCGACAAGUAAUUUGGGACGGAGGGAGUAUUUA